Molecule: ribosomal RNA, 464 nt
Filed under: uncultured bacterium
Lineage: Bacteria
Description: partial 16S ribosomal RNA
Rfam family: Bacterial small subunit ribosomal RNA
Source: RNAcentral
GACGAACGCUGGCGGCGUGCUUAACACAUGCAAGUCGAGCGGUAAGGCCUCUUCGGGGGUACACGAGCGGCGAACGGGUGAGUAACACGUGGGUGACCUGCCCUCAGCUCUGGGAUAAGCCUGGGAAACUGGGUCUAAUACCGGAUAUGACCACAUGUUGCAUGGUGUGUGGUGGAAAGUUUUUUCGGCUGGGGAUGGGCCCGCGGCCUAUCAGCUUGUUGGUGGGGUGAUGGCCUACCAAGGCGACGACGGGUAGCCGGCCUGAGAGGGCGACCGGCCACACUGGGACUGAGACACGGCCCAGACUCCUACGGGAGGCAGCAGUGGGGAAUAUUGCGCAAUGGGCGGAAGCCUGACGCAGCGACGCCGCGUGGGGGAUGACGGCCUUCGGGUUGUAAACCUCUUUCGACCGGGACGAAGCGUAAGUGACGGUACCGGUAGAAAAAGCACCGGCCAACUACGUG